GCCCCGGUAGCUCAGAGGUAGAGCUCGUGCAUAUAGUGAGCGAAAGCGCCUAGCAAUAACUGCCAGGAGGUCGCAGGAUCGAUGCCUGGCCGGUGGCU
Meloidogyne enterolobii is the source of this 98-nucleotide non-coding RNA. The record is from the annotation of a GenBank genome assembly. NCBI's taxonomy places the organism in Eukaryota, Metazoa, Nematoda, Chromadorea, Rhabditida, Meloidogynidae.